This is a long non-coding RNA of Octopus sinensis (East Asian common octopus), 143 nucleotides long. RefSeq lists it as uncharacterized. The transcript is spliced from 3 exons. The record is from RefSeq and is a predicted model, not a curated record. Lineage: Eukaryota; Metazoa; Mollusca; Cephalopoda; Octopoda; Octopodidae.
UUACAAUAAUGAAAAAUAUAUCCCCCCUGUGCAAACCUUGGGAGAAACAGAAACACACACAAGACUUCAUGCAUCGCAUGCAAUUUUCGGGAUACAAUCAGAAAGAUAGAAUCCAAGUGUACAGGGGAGAUAACAUGAAAUUU